This is a long non-coding RNA of Chelonia mydas (Green sea turtle), 7436 nucleotides long. RefSeq lists it as uncharacterized. NCBI's taxonomy places the organism in Eukaryota, Metazoa, Chordata, Testudines, Cheloniidae. The transcript has 3 exons. The record is from RefSeq and is a predicted model, not a curated record.
GCUGGGCUGGGCCGGGCCGGGCAGCACCUGGCGGGGCCCCCGGGGCGCACAGCGCCGGGCUCGCGGACCCCGCAGCGGGGGGAAAGCCCAUCGCUUUACGGUGCCUCGGCCGGGGCCUGCGGCGGGAGCCCGGACUCGUUAAAAGGUCACCUAUGAUGCCGAGCCGGGCUCUCUGGGGAGGGGCGCGGAGAGGGGCCCUCCCGGUCCCCCCAGCCCGGCUCCGCUCCAGGCACGGGAGGCUCCUGACUGUCUCGACCACGUGCAGGGUCAGGCUUGGCCUUGCCCGGCUUCCCGGUCAGAGCCCGAGUUUCUUUGAGAAGUGUGAAGUAGUGCAGUGCGGCGGAGAGCUACUCACAGGGCACUCCGGGAGCAGGAGAGAGCCCAUAAGGGAAAGCAAAGUAAUAGUUCUUGUAGGUUUUAGUCUGAAAACUGACUGCUCAAAGGGGCUGCUUCUUACCAAAAAGACUGUUACCUACCUUCCCCUAGCGGCUGUUCUUUGGGAGGGGUUGCACAUGUCCACACUGUAGGCAUGUGCCUGUUUCGGGCAGUCGAGAGAGAACCUUUCCCCAAGCCGUACCUGUCCGGGCAGGAGGGGCACCGCCUGCCACUGCCAGCAGUCUAAGACUCCACUAGAGAGGGGAAGGAAGGUAGCUUGUGGAAUGGACAUUUCAAAGAACAACACUUUGGAAAGGUAGGUAACUGUUUUCCCUUCAAGUGAUUGCACAUGUCCGUUCCACUGUAGGUGACUCACGAGCAGAUUAACAUGGAGGCAGGCUCAGAGUCUAUCUGAACAGUGAUUGUAGAACAACCCACCCAAAACAGGCAUAGUUCCUGGACUGAUGGGAAGUGGUAUACUGAGCAGCAGAAGUGUGUACCGGUGACCUGGCUGGUGCUUUGGAAAGGUUUUCAGCAGGUGCAACAGAUAAUCCAGUCUGGUUAAUGGAAGCCUGCACUGAAGAGACACUUCUCUGCUGAGACCAGGUAGAAAAAUGUUUCCAUUUGGCCAGGUACGUACACCUUGUUGAAGGCUUUCUCCUGUUCUGAAGCACCUUCUGAACGUCUUUUGAGCAACUCCUUUCUAGUGGUGUUAGCUGGGAAGUUUCCACACUAUUAAAUGGAGGGCCUGUAGGUUGCGGUUGAGUAGACUGCAAUGGUCUGAAAAAUUACAUUUGAAUCUAAUGGCGGAGGUAGAAGGCCUCACUAAUAGGUUCAAGAACGUUGUCGAGGCCAUGCUGCUGCUCUUAGAAUGAGGCAAGCAUGUUUGUGCUUGAUCUUGAAUAGGACUCUAGGUAGUAAUGGAAUCGGAGGAAAGGCGUUCAGCAGGGAGUUCAUCCGUGAUAGCUGGAAAGCAUCUGUCAAAGACCCAGGGCUGGAACUCCCUCAGCAGCAGAACAGUAGGCAUUUGUUGCAAACAGGUCCAUGUGGGAAGUUUCCCCAGAGCUGGAAGAUGAGCCUAGCGACAUCUGGACCUAGUGAACAUUCAUGGCGAGGGGACAAAGACCUGCUCAGGUGAUCUACUGGUGAGUUCUGCUCUCCUGGGAGGUAUCCUUCUGGCACAGCUGGGAGGAACGUGCCCCUCCCUGUCUGUUUACAUAAAGCAUAGUUGCUAUAUUGUGCUUUAACACUGAUAGAUUUUUUCCCCAGAAUAUGUGGCUGGAAGGCAGAGCAAACUAGACGGCUAGCACGUAGUUCCCUGACAUUAAUAUGAGUCCUCAGCUCCUGCAAGGACUACAGGGUUCCGAUAUGUGCCCCCCAACCCAGGGACGAGGCAUCCAUGACCCACGUAAGCGUUGGUUGCAGAGAAAGUAAGGGAACUCCUGCAUAAAAGGUCUGAGGGUCUGUCCACUGGUCCAGAGAGGACAAAAUUACCUCUGGAACACAAAUUUCUCUGUCUGGACAAUGACAAAAGGGGGCAUCCUUGAAGUUUCCUGAGGCAUAAUCAGGUGAGUUACGUCAUGUAGGUACCUGCUGCCAUGUGCCCCAGAAGUCUGAGGCAAGCAUGCACUGUAGUAAUGGGAUGUGCUUUUAGAUCCAGUACCAGGUCUCAGAGCAUUUGGAACUUUGACUGGGGCAGAAAUGCUCUGGUUUGUAUAGCAUCCAGGAGUGCUCUGAUAAACUAUUCUUGCGCAGGUUUUUAGAAUUGAUCUGACUUGACUGAGUAAGAGACUCAGUGCAUUGAGGGUGGACUGAAUUAUACCCACACUGGCCAGCACUUGAGAGUGCAUCCAGCCUGUCACCAACCAAUCAUCCAGAAGGGGAAUGCAUGGAUUCCCAAGCCUCUUAGAUACACAACUGCCUUACCUUGCACAUUGUGAAAACGCAAGGGGCGGCUGCUGACAGACCAAAUGGAAGUAGUGUAAAUUGGUAAUGUGUUUCAUUUGCUAGGAACAUGAUGAACUUGCGGUGGUCUAGAGGGAUCACUAUAUGGAAGUAACCAUCCUUUAAGUCGAGGGCAGCAUACCAGUAGCCCUGUUCAGGGAAGGAUUGAUGGCAGCUAGGAUAACCCUGGGGAUCUUCAUUUUCUUCAGGUACUUUUUUAACUCCCUUAGAUCUAAAAUAGCUCUGAGAGCCCCUUUUGUUUUGGGAAUAAGGAAAUAGCAGGAUUAAAAACGGUUCCCACUGAGAAAUUGAGGAACUUCCUCUAUUGCACCCACUGGAAGGAGAGAUUAAACCUGCUGUAAAACGGUGUUGUGAGAGUGGUCCUUGAAGAAGGAUGGAGAAGGAGGGGGAUAGAAACAAACUGAAGUCAAUAUCCCACAUCCACCAUGCUUAGGAUCCACCGAACUGAUGUGACAUGAGUCGAAGCACAGAGGAAGCAGGAAAGACAAUAGGCAAAGGUAAGGGUAGGAACAGAUUCGUCCAAAGUAUUGACAAGCCUGUCAGAAAUGCAUGUUUAGACUGGACCAUUGAUUGAGAGGAACCUGCUAUUGCAGACAGAGAGGUGGUGGACACUUUCUGUAAUUCUUGUCCCUCUUUUUUUGGCAGGUCUUGGGCCUGAGGUAUAAAGCUCUGAUAUCUGUGAGCCUUCUGGGGCCAGAAUUGCUUCCUCUUCAUUGCCAGUGUGUAAAUUCCAAGGGACUUCAGUGUUGCCCUGGAUUCUUGUAAGCUAUGCCACCUAUUGUCCAUCUUUUCUGAAAAGAGGGAUGGACCCUCAAAUGGCAAAUCCUAGAUGGCCUGCUGUACUUCAGGAGGGAGACCAGAAGAUUGCAGCCAUGAACUUCUCCUCAUAGAAAUAGCGGAUGUCAAGGAACAAGCUACUGAGUCUGCCACGUCCUAACUGUCUUGAAGAGCUAUCCUUGCACCCCCGCGUACCCUCCUCUAUCCUGAGCGAGCACCUGCCUGGAAUCCUCUGGUAGCGUGUCUUUAAACUUCAGGAUGUUUUCUCAUAGGGUAAAAUCAUAGCAAUUUAGGAGGGCUUGCCAAUUAACAAUUCUUGGCUGCAGCGUGUCUGUUGAAUAAGUUUAUGACCAAACAGGUCCAGCCUCUCUGAUUCCUUACUCUUCAGCGUCAAUGCUUGGUGACCCUCAUUCUCCUGCUCAUGAGCUGAUGCCACCACCAAAGGGCCUGGGGGUGCGUGAGAGUAGAGGGGUUUGAAGCCCUUAGAAGGGACACAGUAGCUCCUCUGUGCCUGUUUUGCUGUAGGCGGGAGGGAAGAAGGGGUCUGUCAAAGUGUUUUAACCGGUUCUAGAAUUGCUUCAUUACCUCGGAAGUACCACUCUGGUGGGUCUCACAGAAGCUAAAGUAUCCACUAGCAUGGGAGAUUUCUUAUGGACCGAUUCUACAUGAACGUCUAAAACUGAGGCCACCUUUUUAAGCAGUUCUUGGUGAGCGCUGUUAUCCUCUGGUGAUGGAGAAUCGCUCGCCAUCUCUACAGCCUCAUCUGGUGAUAAGGAAAACUACACACCAGGAUGCUGAGGCAAUGGCUGGUUUGCCACUUGCAGUGUAGGAAUUGUCUGAGCAAUUUCCAGUUGCUCAGUACCAGGCAUCAGAGAACGUUGCCUGUGAUGCCAGUGAUCUUGAUGCAUCCUUGGGGAAAUAGACUCAGACAGGUGAGGAAAAGUCCUAGCAGGGGCAGGGACACCCCUCGGUGGACAGACCUGGUGACUGUGGUCCCAGGGUUGUGCAUGCCCUUUCCCUUGUGACAUGUCCACUGCUGGGACAUCCGGGGCUCUGAUGGAAGGUGUAAGGUUCUUUUCUGGUAUGAGACACAAAAGACUCCACUUCCAAAUCCGACAAAGAUGACUGAAUCCUAUGGUAACGGAGGAGCAGAACCCAGGUGGACAGGAGACAGAUAAGUGAACCCAGAGGCAGCAGUGCCAGGGAUAUUAACAGCAGCUUGCCCCUGGAGUGGACUGGCCUCCUAGGCACCAGGAGCAGCAUCGGUAACGCAUGCUCUUGCGGAGCUGGCGUAGGCACUACAGACACUGCACUGGCUGGAACCCUUCCUGCAUCACCAGGGACAUUGGUGUUGAGAGGUUAAGUAAUUCUCUGGCGACAGCAUAUGCUUCUGGCAUUGCUGGUAUCAGGAUUGGGUCUUGGGUCUGACCAAUAGAAACUUCAGGGGCUAGCUUUGGCACACACGGCACAGGUUCUGCAGUAGAUGCACCCCCUGUUGUGACAGAGGCAUACUGUGGGGAACGCUCCCCCUCGGAAUCCCUCCCAGACAUCUUGCUUUUAUCCUGCCUCGGUUAUGAAGAUCUUGCUGGACAAGGUACCGUGUCCUUGGCAGAUCUGUCUCCUCUUCAGUAUCGGAGACAGAGAAUGUGGUGCGAAAGACAUCUCAGGAGCACAUGCUGCAUCAGUAGAGCUGCACUUGGAGUGCACUCUGAACCCAACGGCUCCCAGGGAGGGCAAAGUGCCAUCUCCAUAAGGAGACAGCUCUCACUGUUCUGUCUCUUUUUGAGCAAGGCUUAAAUCAUCUGCAAAUGUGACCUUUGUCCCUUGAUGUGGGACUCCCCCAGACGUCUUAGGCAGCUGGGAUGUGGGUCAUGGACCAGCAUCGUUCUGGCACACGACCAGCAGGACUUGAACCCCAGCGAGCGAGAAAUAGCUCCAGUCCCAGUAUCAAGUAAUCAGACUUGGUCCAAAAGGGACCCAAGCAACUAAAACCUAAUAUUAAUGCUACGCUAUAUCUAAUUAACUACUAAGUACUAAAUGAGAAAACAAGCUAUAUACAAAGAGAGAGGAAAAUAAACUUGCCAUCGCAAUACUGGAUGGAAGCGUUCCAACAACCAUCACUGGCGAUAAGAAGGAACUGAGGGGGGUCGGGGCGGCUCCACCCUCUUAUACUGGCACACGGUGGUGCACAGAUGUUGUAGGCACUAGAGUGCCCCAACAGGUAGAAUUGAGGGAAAAAGUUCUCUGAUAACUGCAUGAGGUGCACAGUCACGUACAGUGAAUGGACAUGUGCAAUCACUCAAAGAACCCCUUUGUUGUAUUCAGAGUGGCACAAGGUUGCUUAACUAAACAAAGAUUUUAAUGGGAUUUACUCAUGUUAGCACUGGUAAGUCACUGUUCAGUGCCCAUCCAUCUAGAUUCUUGUACUGUGCCCAUCACCAUAGUAUCCAAGCUUUAUAUGGUGAUUAGGCAUUUAUAAGAUGCCUCUAAAAACAUUGUCAUAGAUAUCUGACUCUUGAGUGAGCUGAAUUCUAGUUGAGGUGAAGAGUCAUCAACACAAUAGUUAAAAAUACUGCAACUGGAACUUGAUUAUGGUUGAUGAUGCACAAGCCGACAAGAACUAGGAUGACCAGACAGCAAAUGUGAAAAAUUGGGACGGGGCGGGGGGUAAUCGGAGCCUACAUAAGAAAAAGACCCAAAAAUCGGGACUGUCCCUAUAAAAUCAGGACAUCUGGUCACCCUAACAAGAACUCAGCUGACUUCCACAUCCCACUGCAGUCUGUAGUGUUAGCAUCUGCUUAGUUUACAAGCUGGAUUUCAUUUUUCAGGCUCACUGUUUAUAGAUAUAUGCUCAGGUAGUACGUGCCUUAUAAGAGGCUAGCUAGGUAGGCAUGACAGAAUCAUGGAAUCCCAUGAAGCUACAUUUAUGGUCACUUUUCAGACUAUAGCCACAAGUUAAGUAAAUACCAUUCUAAUUUGAUACACCUUGAACGAUUGACUUAUAUGUAAUUUUCACACUUAGAAAUUCAAAUGAAAGACUGAUUUCUUUUGGUGGCAUUUUACCCCUUCUUGGUACAUGUACUGCACUAUUUUUAUUUAUACAAUGCCAAAAAGUGCGCUUGGCAUCUAGAGAUGCCAUCGGUAUGCAUCCGAUGAAGUGAGCUAUAGCUCACGAAAGCUUAUGCUCAAAUAAAUUGGUUAGUCUCUAAGGUGCCACAAGUACUCCUUUUCUUUUUGCAAAUACAGACUAACACGGCUGUUACUCUGAAACUUGGCAUCUAGAGAUUUCUUGGUGUGUGGAGUUGUUACCUGAAGGGUGAUUAGAUAUUUGAUCUCUAGGUUGAUAUAUUCUGAUUACAUGACCAACUCAGACACAUAUAGGAUCCCUUUACUUCCUUCCAAUAAAUAAUGGAAAGGGACAUCCCUGCCUCUCAAUCUUCAAAUUUACCAAUACAUGACAAAUAACCAGCAGGUGGAACACCUGAGUUCUGUUGCACUCUAAUUGACAGAGCAUAAUGGUUUCUAACUGUAAAACCUACUUCUAAGAGGAUGUUUCUCCUGGGUCAACUAAACCAGUUUUGCCAUCUGUAACUAGCUUCCCCUGGGGCAUGGUGUGGGGAGGUGGGAAAUAGUCCAUACUCAUGCAAUCUGCCAAAUUCAAUUAAUCCUGCUGCUGCUUCCCUCUUCCCCAGGUUUAACUAGUUUAGGCCAACUCUAACAGGACUCCGCUGCCUUACCUGCUCUUCUGGAACCUAAAAGGCUUUCAGUAGGAGCAGCAGCAGCUUCUCUUCUCUUUCCCUCCAAUAAACCAUUGUUUGAAGGAUGCAAAGUGUGCCAGCCUAUGAGGAGUGAGGCUGCUCAAGGCCUGCUCUCCUCCUUCCUCUGCCCUGUGACAAAUGUGAUGGUCUUAGCUACUCUCCCAUCCCCAAGAGGCAUCUGCUUCUGAGCAGCUCAGCUUCCUUCCUCCAAAGUCUCUCUCUCCUGCUUUUAAGGAGGGAAGAGGAAGAGAGGAGUAAGGGAAGAGUCUCUCCUCCUCCCUUCCUCACCCCCACCAAGCAACUAAUUCUUGUCUGCAGAAGACAGCCUUAAUUGGGGGACCAAGCCUGAAUCAGUAGCAGUGCAGAAUGCACCCCAAACUACAGAGGGUUUGAGAACUCUAGGGAUAUCCCUUCCCAGUAGAGACUCCCACCCUAGAGAGCCUCCCAGGAAUAAGUUGUUAAUGCAUGGAAUGUUUACUAAUUUGCAUGUGAAAGGCAGUGAUGUGAAAGCCCUUUUUAGUUGCAAUAUGAUUUCUAAUUAAAGUGAUUGUGAGCAGCUUA